GACGAACGCUGGCGGCGUGCUUAACACAUGCAAGUCGAACGGAAAGGCCCUGCUUUUGUGGGGUGCUCGAGUGGCGAACGGGUGAGUAACACGUGAGUAACCUGCCCUUGACUUUGGGAUAACUUCAGGAAACUGGGGCUAAUACCGGAUAGGAGCUCCUGCUGCAUGGUGGGGGUUGGAAAUUUUCGGCCGUUGGGGAUGGACUCGCGGCUUAUCAGCUUGUUGGUGGGGUAGUGGCUUACCAAGGCUUUGACGGGUAGCCGGCCUGAGAGGGUGACCGGCCACCUUGGGACUGAGAUACGGAGCAGACUCCAACGGGAGGCGGCAGUGGGGAGUAUUGCACAAUGGGAGGAAGUCUGAUGCAGCAACGCCGCGUGCGGGAUGACGGCCUUCGGGUUGUAAACCGCUUUCGCCUGUGACGAAGCGUGAGUGACGGUAAUGGGUAAAGAAGCACCGGCUAACUACGUG
RNAcentral lists this ribosomal RNA (468 nucleotides) under uncultured bacterium. Its description in RNAcentral is "partial 16S ribosomal RNA". It matches the Rfam family "Bacterial small subunit ribosomal RNA", at positions 28 to 507 of the family's 1533-position model. The record is from RNAcentral.